This 107-nucleotide small RNA is filed under the name Marmota monax (woodchuck). Lineage: Eukaryota; Metazoa; Chordata; Mammalia; Rodentia; Sciuridae. The record is from RNAcentral.
GCCAGGCAUGGUGGUGCAUACCUGUAAUCCCAGCUACUUGGGAAGCUAAAGUGGGAGGAUGGCAAGUUCAAGGCCAGCCUGGGCAAUUUAGUGAGACCCCAUCUUAA